This 1559-nucleotide ribosomal RNA is filed under the name Escherichia coli. Its description in RNAcentral is "partial 23S ribosomal RNA". It matches the Rfam family "Bacterial large subunit ribosomal RNA", at positions 1273 to 2817 of the family's 2925-position model. Lineage: Bacteria; Pseudomonadati; Pseudomonadota; Gammaproteobacteria; Enterobacterales; Enterobacteriaceae. The record is from RNAcentral.
CUGGAGGUAUCAGAAGUGCGAAUGCUGACAUAAGUAACGAUAAAGCGGGUGAAAAGCCCGCUCGCCGGAAGACCAAGGGUUCCUGUCCAACGUUAAUCGGGGCAGGGUGAGUCGACCCCUAAGGCGAGGCCGAAAGGCGUAGUCGAUGGGAAACAGGUUAAUAUUCCUGUACUUGGUGUUACUGCGAAGGGGGGACGGAGAAGGCUAUGUUGGCCGGGCGACGGUUGUCCCGGUUUAAGCGUGUAGGCUGGUUUUCCAGGCAAAUCCGGAAAAUCAAGGCUGAGGCGUGAUGACGAGGCACUACGGUGCUGAAGCAACAAAUGCCCUGCUUCCAGGAAAAGCCUCUAAGCAUCAGGUAACAUCAAAUCGUACCCCAAACCGACACAGGUGGUCAGGUAGAGAAUACCAAGGCGCUUGAGAGAACUCGGGUGAAGGAACUAGGCAAAAUGGUGCCGUAACUUCGGGAGAAGGCACGCUGAUAUGUAGGUGAAGCGACUUGCUCGUGGAGCUGAAAUCAGUCGAAGAUACCAGCUGGCUGCAACUGUUUAUUAAAAACACAGCACUGUGCAAACACGAAAGUGGACGUAUACGGUGUGACGCCUGCCCGGUGCCGGAAGGUUAAUUGAUGGGGUCAGCGCAAGCGAAGCUCUUGAUCGAAGCCCCGGUAAACGGCGGCCGUAACUAUAACGGUCCUAAGGUAGCGAAAUUCCUUGUCGGGUAAGUUCCGACCUGCACGAAUGGCGUAAUGAUGGCCAGGCUGUCUCCACCCGAGACUCAGUGAAAUUGAACUCGCUGUGAAGAUGCAGUGUACCCGCGGCAAGACGGAAAGACCCCGUGAACCUUUACUAUAGCUUGACACUGAACAUUGAGCCUUGAUGUGUAGGAUAGGUGGGAGGCUUUGAAGUGUGGACGCCAGUCUGCAUGGAGCCGACCUUGAAAUACCACCCUUUAAUGUUUGAUGUUCUAACGUUGACCCGUAAUCCGGGUUGCGGACAGUGUCUGGUGGGUAGUUUGACUGGGGCGGUCUCCUCCUAAAGAGUAACGGAGGAGCACGAAGGUUGGCUAAUCCUGGUCGGACAUCAGGAGGUUAGUGCAAUGGCAUAAGCCAGCUUGACUGCGAGCGUGACGGCGCGAGCAGGUGCGAAAGCAGGUCAUAGUGAUCCGGUGGUUCUGAAUGGAAGGGCCAUCGCUCAACGGAUAAAAGGUACUCCGGGGAUAACAGGCUGAUACCGCCCAAGAGUUCAUAUCGACGGCGGUGUUUGGCACCUCGAUGUCGGCUCAUCACAUCCUGGGGCUGAAGUAGGUCCCAAGGGUAUGGCUGUUCGCCAUUUAAAGUGGUACGCGAGCUGGGUUUAGAACGUCGUGAGACAGUUCGGUCCCUAUCUGCCGUGGGCGCUGGAGAACUGAGGGGGGCUGCUCCUAGUACGAGAGGACCGGAGUGGACGCAUCACUGGUGUUCGGGUUGUCAUGCCAAUGGCACUGCCCGGUAGCUAAAUGCGGAAGAGAUAAGUGCUGAAAGCAUCUAAGCACGAAACUUGCCCCGAGAUGAGUUCUCCCUG